Molecule: long non-coding RNA, 357 nt
Organism: Nycticebus coucang (slow loris)
Lineage: Eukaryota; Metazoa; Chordata; Mammalia; Primates; Lorisidae
Exons: 3
Source: RefSeq, a predicted model, not a curated record
AAGGAGCGAGAGGCGGCCGCUAAGAGGAGACCAAGAGGCGGGGGCUGCCCUUGACAACCAGCAUGCCGAGAUGGGAGGCUGCCACCGGGCUCUAAGCACUGCAGUGGCAUCAAGGUGAGAGCCGAGGCCAGGGCUCCAGCACACUCCUGGUGAACUACGGCGUGGCCACGUCCACCUGAGUGCCAGGAUCACCAUCACUGCCUAUCUGCUCUUCAAGGAAGGCUGCCACCGGGCUCUAAGCACGGCAGUAGCGUCAGGGUGAGAGCCAAGGCCAAGGGAUCCAGGACACUCCUGGUGAGCUACGGCGUGGCCACGUCCGCCUGAGUGCCAGGAUCACCAUCGCUGCCUACCUGCUCC